AGAGCCUGAGCAGAUCCUACCACCC
Molecule: non-coding RNA, 25 nt
Filed under: Mus musculus (house mouse)
Lineage: Eukaryota; Metazoa; Chordata; Mammalia; Rodentia; Muridae
Source: RNAcentral